GACGGGGCCCGCACAAGCGGUGGAGCAUGUGGUUUAAUUCGAUGAUACGCGAGGAACCUUACCUGGGCUCAAAUGUAUGUUGACGUAUUCUGAAAGGGAUACUUCUUCGGACAAUAUACAAGGUGCUGCAUGGUUGUCGUCAGCUCGUGCCGUGAGGUGUCGGGUUAAGUCCCAUAACGAGCGCAACCCCUAUCAUUAGUUGCCAUCAGGUCAAGCUGGGGACUCUAAUGAAACUGCCUACGCAAGUAGUGAGGAAGGCGGGGAUGACGUCAAAUCAGCACGGCCCUUACGUCCAGGGCUACACACGUGCUACAAUGGCCGAUACAGAGGGCAGCUACCUGGUGACAGGAUGCAAAUCUCCAAAGUCGGUCUCAGUUCGGAUCGGAGUCUGCAACCCGACUCCGUGAAGUUGGAUUCGCUAGUAAUCGCGCAUCAGCCAUGGCGCGGUGAAUACGUUCCCGGGCCUU
RNAcentral lists this ribosomal RNA (467 nucleotides) under uncultured Sphingobacteriales bacterium. Its description in RNAcentral is "bacterial SSU rRNA". It matches the Rfam family "Bacterial small subunit ribosomal RNA", at positions 916 to 1381 of the family's 1533-position model. The record is from RNAcentral. Lineage: Bacteria; Pseudomonadati; Bacteroidota; Sphingobacteriia; Sphingobacteriales.